This 440-nucleotide ribosomal RNA is filed under the name uncultured bacterium. RNAcentral describes it as "partial 16S ribosomal RNA". It matches the Rfam family "Bacterial small subunit ribosomal RNA", at positions 338 to 795 of the family's 1533-position model. The record is from RNAcentral.
CCUACGGGAGGCAGCAGUGGGGAAUAUUGCACAAUGGGGGAAACCCUGAUGCAGCGACGCCGCGUGAGUGAAGAAGUAUUUCGGUAUGUAAAGCUCUAUCAGCAGGGAAGAAAAUGACGGUACCUGAUUAAGAAGCCCCGGCUAAGUACGUGCCAGCAGCCGCGGUAAGACGUAGGGGGCAAGCGUUAUACGGAUUUACUGGGUGUAAAGGGAGCGUAGACGGCAGCACAAGUCUGGAGUGAAAUGCCGGGGCUUAACCCCGGAACUGCUUUGGAAACUGUGCAGCUAGAGUGCAGGAGAGGUAAGUGGAAUUCCUAGUGUAGCGGUGAAAUGCGUAGAUAUUAGGAGGAACACCAGUGGCGAAGGCGGCUUACUGGACUGUAACUGACGUUGAGGCUCGAAAGCGUGGGGAGCAAACAGGAUUAGAUACCCCAGUAGUC